RNAcentral lists this ribosomal RNA (468 nucleotides) under uncultured bacterium. RNAcentral's name for it is "partial 16S ribosomal RNA". It matches the Rfam family "Bacterial small subunit ribosomal RNA", at positions 28 to 507 of the family's 1533-position model. The record is from RNAcentral.
GACGAACGCUGGCGGCGUGCUUAACACAUGCAAGUCGAACGGAAAGGCCCUGCUUUUGUGGGGUGCUCGAGCGGCGAACGGGUGAGUAACACGUGAGUAACCUGCCCUUGACUUUGGGAUAACUUCAGGAAAUUGGGGCUAAUACCGGAUAGGAGCUCCUGCUGCAUGGUGGGGGUUGGAAAGUUUCGGCGGUUGGGGAUGGACUCGCGGCUUAUCAGCUUGUUGGUGGGGUAGUGGCUUACCAAGGCUUUGACGGGUAGCCGGCCUGAGAGGGUGACCGGCCACAUUGGGACUGAGAUACGGCCCAGACUCCUACGGGAGGCAGCAGUGGGGAAUAUUGCACAAUGGGCGGAAGCCUGAUGCAGCAACGCCGCGUGCGGGAUGACGGCCUUCGGGUUGUAAACCGCUUUCGCCUGUGACGAAGCGUGAGUGACGGUAAUGGGUAAAGAAGCACCGGCUAACUACGUG